Molecule: ribosomal RNA, 464 nt
Filed under: Vreelandella stevensii
Lineage: Bacteria; Pseudomonadati; Pseudomonadota; Gammaproteobacteria; Oceanospirillales; Halomonadaceae
Description: partial 16S ribosomal RNA
Rfam family: Bacterial small subunit ribosomal RNA
Source: RNAcentral
CCUACGGGGUGCAGCAGUGGGGAAUAUUGGACAAUGGGCGAAAGCCUGAUCCAGCCAUGCCGCGUGUGUGAAGAAGGCCUUCGGGUUGUAAAGCACUUUCAGUGGGGAAGAAAGCCUUGGGGCUAAUACCCUCGAGGAAGGACAUCACCCACAGAAGAAGCACCGGCUAACCCGUGCCAGCAGCCGCGGUAAUACGGAGGGUGCGAGCGUUAAUCGGAAUUACUGGGCGUAAAGCGCGCGUAGGCGGUCUGAUAAGCCGGUUGUGAAAGCCCCGGGCUCAACCUGGGAACGGCAUCCGGAACUGUCAGGCUAGAGUGCAGGAGAGGAAGGUAGAAUUCCCGGUGUAGCGGUGAAAUGCGUAGAGAUCGGGAGGAAUACCAGUGGCGAAGGCGGCCUUCUGGACUGACACUGACGCUGAGGUGCGAAAGCGUGGGUAGCAAACAGGAUUAGAUACCCUGGUAGUC